Molecule: ribosomal RNA, 529 nt
Filed under: uncultured bacterium
Lineage: Bacteria
Description: bacterial SSU rRNA
Rfam family: Bacterial small subunit ribosomal RNA
Source: RNAcentral
AAUAGAUACCCCGGUAGUCCACGCCGUAAACGAUGAGUGCUAAGUGUUAGAGGGUUUCCGCCCUUUAGUGCUGCAGCUAACGCAUUAAGCACUCCGCCUGGGGAGUACGGCCGCAAGGCUGAAACUCAAAGGAAUUGACGGGGGCCCGCACAAGCGGUGGAGCAUGUGGUUUAAUUCGAAGCAACGCGAAGAACCUUACCAGGUCUUGACAUCCUCUGCCAACCCUAGAGAUAGGGCGUUCCCCUUCGGGGGACAGAGUGACAGGUGGUGCAUGGUUGUCGUCAGCUCGUGUCGUGAGAUGUUGGGUUAAGUCCCGCAACGAGCGCAACCCUUGAUCUUAGUUGCCAGCAUUCAGUUGGGCACUCUAAGGUGAUUGCCGGUGACAAACCGGAGGAAGGUGGGGAUGACGUCAAAUCAUCAUGCCCCUUAUGACCUGGGCUACACACGUGCUACAAUGGAUGGUACAAAGAGCUGCGAACCCGCGAGGGUAAGCGAAUCUCAUAAAGCCAUUCUCAGUUCGGAUUGUAGG